This 73-nucleotide transfer RNA is filed under the name Spirochaetales bacterium. RNAcentral describes it as "tRNA-Lys". It matches the Rfam family "tRNA". Rfam says of the family: Transfer RNA (tRNA) molecules are approximately 80 nucleotides in length. Their secondary structure includes four short double-helical elements and three loops (D, anti-codon, and T loops). Further hydrogen bonds mediate the characteristic L-shaped molecular structure. tRNAs have two regions of fundamental functional importance: the anti-codon, which is responsible for specific mRNA codon recognition, and the 3' end, to which the tRNAs corresponding amino acid is attached (by aminoacyl-tRNA synthetases). tRNAs cope with the degeneracy of the genetic code in two manners: having more than one tRNA (with a specific anti-codon) for a particular amino acid; and 'wobble' base-pairing, i.e. permitting non-standard base-pairing at the 3rd anti-codon position. The record is from RNAcentral. Lineage: Bacteria; Pseudomonadati; Spirochaetota; Spirochaetia; Spirochaetales.
GGGCUGGUAGCUCAGCAGGUAGAGCAAUGCCCUUUUAAGGCAUGGGUCACAGGUUCGAAUCCUGUCCAGCUCA